Molecule: ribosomal RNA, 289 nt
Filed under: uncultured bacterium
Lineage: Bacteria
Description: partial 16S ribosomal RNA
Rfam family: Bacterial small subunit ribosomal RNA
Source: RNAcentral
CGGCUCCUACGGGGCGCAGCAGUGGGGGAUAUUGCACAAUGGGGGGAACCCUGAUGCAGCGACGCCGCGUGGGUGAAGGAGUGCUUCGGCAUGUAAAGCCCUAUCGGCAGGGAAGAAGCAAGACGGUACCUGACUAAGAAGCCCCGGCUAACUACGUGCCAGCAGCCGCGGUAAUACGUAGGGGGCGAGCGUUAUCCGGAUUCACUGGGUGUAAAGGGAGCGUAGACGGCCAAGCAAGACAGGGGUGAAAGCCCGGGGCACAACCCCGGGACAGCCCUUGGAAAUGCAU